RNAcentral lists this ribosomal RNA (259 nucleotides) under uncultured prokaryote. RNAcentral describes it as "partial 16S ribosomal RNA". It matches the Rfam family "Bacterial small subunit ribosomal RNA", at positions 524 to 782 of the family's 1533-position model. The record is from RNAcentral.
UACGUAGGUGGCAAGCGUUAUCCGGAAUUAUUGGGCGUAAAGAGCGCGCAGGUGGUUGAUUAAGUCUGAUGUGAAAGCCCACGGCUUAACCGUGGAGGGUCAUUGGAAACUGGUCGACUUGAGUGCAGAAGAGGGAAGUGGAAUUCCAUGUGUAGCGGUGAAAUGCGUAGAGAUAUGGAGGAACACCAGUGGCGAAGGCGGCUUCCUGGUCUGUGACUGACACUGAGGCGCGAAAGCGUGGGGAGCAAACAGGAUUAGA